RNAcentral lists this ribosomal RNA (253 nucleotides) under uncultured bacterium. Its description in RNAcentral is "partial 16S ribosomal RNA". It matches the Rfam family "Bacterial small subunit ribosomal RNA", at positions 524 to 776 of the family's 1533-position model. The record is from RNAcentral.
UACGUAGGGUGCGAGCGUUGUCCGGAAUUAUUGGGCGUAAAGGGCUCGUAGGCGGUUUGUCACGUCGGGAGUGAAAACUCAGGGCUUAACCCUGAGCCUGCUUCCGAUACAGGCAGACUAGAGGUAUGCAGGGGAGAACGGAAUUCCUGGUGUAGCGGUGAAAUGCGCAGAUAUCAGGAGGAACACCGGUGGCGAAGGCGGUUCUCUGGGCAUUACCUGACGCUGAGGAGCGAAAGUGUGGGGAGCGAACAGG